RNAcentral lists this long non-coding RNA (5035 nucleotides) under Sorghum bicolor (sorghum). RNAcentral's name for it is "long non-coding RNA (SBIC_LNC015229)". The record is from RNAcentral. Lineage: Eukaryota; Viridiplantae; Streptophyta; Magnoliopsida; Poales; Poaceae.
GUUUAUUUAUUUAGAAUGUCUUGAAUUUGGGGUGGGCUACUGCCUACCGUGGGCUGGCUAGUGUGGUGUGGUGUCACGCGAGGCUGCAGCCUGCACCAAGACAUGCCAGCGGCGAGCAUAUUCUCCGCCGGCGGUGAGCAUAUUCUCGCUAGAUGCUUUCCUUAGCUUCGAAGGCUCGAACUCUGACCUAGGACAGAGCUUAUAUAUACAGGACUAGCUAGGAGUCUCUCCUCAACCUCUCCUGGUUCUACAGCUUGCUAGCGCCUCCACCUCGUCGGCCCGGAGCCAGGGUCCGGCGCCGGCGCCGGCGGGAGAGGGCUCUGCAUCCUCAGCCCAUGACGUGCCCUCCACGUGGAUCGGGAUCGGAUCGACUUCCACUUCAUCUUCUGCUGCGUCGCCGGCCGGCCGCCUACUUCGUCGUCGAUCGAUGGGCUACUUCCUCGACUCUGAUCCGGUGCUCCGUCGUGACCGCGCGAUUGAACCAGCAGCACCGGUGAGUCGACGACGGACGACCUCGUGCUGCUCCGAUCGGAUCCCUACCUGUCGGCCACUCCGCUCCGGCACGCGCCGCCGCCGCCCUGCCGCCUAUAUAUGUGUUAGGGUAAAACCAUUCCUCCCAUCUGACUCCAUUUCUGUACAUGUGUUUGGUUAACGCUGUUGGAUCCGAUCGAUCUUGCACUCUGGCUCUGAAAUUAUCGAUUGUGUGCCAAGCUGAAGUUGCUGGAUAAUCACCUUAUACACGAAGAACAAAGCUGAUUUAAUUUCAUGUGUGCUGUGUCCUGUGUGUACUUUUUAUGGAGCGUGAGCCGUUCUCUUCGAUCGAUCGGGGGUACCAGCCUAUAUAUUCGAUUGGGGGUGCCUUCCUAGCGUCAGGGACCAUGAGCCGGAGCAGCGCCCAAGGGAGGCGGAGGCCGUCGAGGCCAAAAAACUCGUGCACGACGAGGUAGAGGUCAGCGACACGGUGCCUUAGGGAUCCUGUGGAGCUAUUCGUCUCCUACAGGGUGCCGGCGCCGGCGCCGUUGCUGUUGUCCUCUGCCUCACUGGACACAGGUUUUUUGGCCUCCACCGCCUUUGCUUCCCUUGCGAGCCGCUCAGGCUCAUGGUCCAUCAGAACUAGGAAGGCACAUCGAUGGCCGGUGUCACGGCCGUCCGCCGUGCCGUUCACACGAUCUAACUCUGGGCUCCUAUGGGUAGAAGUUGGAUUUCUUUUGGGAAUGGAGAGAGGACCGCCCAAUCCAGAUUUGAAAUGCAAUUAAUUAUAAUUGCACUGCACUCCCCCAUAUAUAUAUAGCCAUAGGCAGCUGGAUAAGCACAUUCAUGCUUGUACGCAGAACAAGCUGAUUUAAUUUUGCGUGUGCUGUGUGUACUUUUUCUUGAGCAUGUAUCACAUGGUAGAGGUUGGCGACACGGACACACGGUGCCUCUGUGCUCCUAUGGAGCUAUUAUCUCCUACACGGUGCCAGCAUCAUUGCCAUCUUUUCUGCCUCACUGGACACAGGUUUCUUGUCCUCCCCCGCCCUUCUCUUCCCUUGUGAUCCGCUCUGGCUCAUGGUCCCUUAGAACUAGGAAGACACCUCAAUGGCUGGUGCUGCUGCCAUUCGCCCUGCCGUUCAUACCAUAUAACUCUGGGCUCCUGUGAGCAGAACUUCUCGAAUGCACUGCACUACCCAUAGCCAGCAGUCUUUUGCAUGCUAAACUGAAGCUGGUGGAUAAUCACCUUCACGCUUAUAUGCAGAACAAGCUGAUUUAAUUUCUUGUGUGUACGAUUGUGCGUACUUUUUAUUGAACAUCGAUCAUAUAUGGCUCUUCUAUUAUUGUUUUGCUGUCCAAUUCUUUCUUUUUGCAGUCAUCCCAUCACAAGAUCGUACUAUUUUAAUUUUGUGAUAGGUUUGCUUGCUGUUUCAAUAUUUGCAUCGUCGCUGCAUGCAUAAUUUGGCUCUGAGUAUUCACUGGAUCAAGGCAGAAAAAACACAAUCAGCUAUUUUUGUGCUCAAUAUAAACUUGGUGCGUAAAUGGCUGAACUGUUAAUUUUAGAGUUUUGCUCCAGUGGUCCUCAUAAAAAAGGUCACACAAAUAUAAUUAAUUUCAUUUUGGAUAUGGACUGGGCCGACCCUAUAUAUCCCUAAAAGAAGUCCAACCUAUGCACUACUCAGAGUCACAUUGUAGGAACAGGAGGGUAGAUGCCGGAUGGCAACGAUACCCGCCUAUUCGGGGUGCCUUCCUAGCGUCGGGGACCAUGAGCCGGAGUAGCGCCCAAUGGAGGCGGAGGCCGAUGAGGCCAAGAAACUCGUGCAUGGUGAGGUAGAGGUUAGCGACACGGUGCCUCUAUGCUCCCAUGGAGCUAUUCUCUCCUACACAGUGCUGGCACCAUUGCCAUCCUCUAUCUCACUGGACACAUGUUUCUUGGCCUCCCGGCCUUCUCUUCCCUUGUGAUCUGCUCUGGCUCAUAGUCCCUCAGAUCUAGGAAGGCACCUUGAUGGCUGGUGCCACUGCCGUCCGCCCUGCUGUUCAUACCAUCUAACUCUAGGAUGCCGUGGACAGAAAUUUUUGAUUGCACUGCACUACCCAUAGGCUCUUUUGCACGCUAAAUUGAAGCUGGUGGAUAAUCACCUUCACGUUUAUACGUAGAACAAGCUGAUUUAAUUUCGUGCGUGUACAUUGUGCGUACUUUUUCUUGAGCAUCGAUCAUAUAUGGCUCUUCGAUGUCCAAUUCUUUGUUUUGCAGUCAUCCCAUCACAAGAUCGUACUAUUUUAAUUUUGUGAUAGGUUGCUUGCUGUUUCAUAUAUUUCCAUCGCUGCAUGCAUAACUAGGGGUCUGUAUGUAAUCACUACAUCAACGCAGAAAAAACACAAUCAGCUAUUUUUGUGCUCAGCACAAAUGUGGUGCGCAAAUGGCUGAACUAUUAAGUUUAGAGUUUCGCUCCAGUGGUCCUCUUAAAAAAAGAUACACAGAUAUAAUUAAUUUUGUUUUGGAUCCGGACUGGCCGACCCUAUACAUUCCCAAAAGAAGUCCAGCCUAUACUGCUAGAGUCAUUUUUGUAGGAAAUGGUGGGGCGGCCAUGGUACUAGCCUAUUCGGUGUGCCUUCCUAGCAUCAGGCACCAUGAGUCUAAACAGCGCCCAAGGGAGGCGGAGGCCGUCGAGGCCAAGAAACUUAUGUACGGUGAGAUAGAGGUUAGCGUCAUGGUGCCUUUUGGGCUGUUGUGGAGCUAUUCUCUCCUACACAGUGCCAGCACCAUCGCCAUCUUCUGCCUCACCGGGCACAAGUUUUUGGCCUCCACCGCCUUCGCUUCCCUUGCGAGCUGCUCUAGCUCAUGGUCCCUUAGAAUUAGGAAGGCACCUCGAUGGCCGAUGCCACGCCCGUCCUCCUUGCCAUUCAUACGAUGUUACUCUAGGCUCCUGUGGGUAGAAGUUAGGUUUCUUUUGGGCAUGCAUAGGGCAGACAAGUCCUGAUUUCAAACAUAAUUAAUUAUUCAAUGCUUUAAGAUCUGUGCAAUUUUUUAAGAGGACCACCAGAGCACAACUCUUAAAUUUAUUCUUAUUAGCUUCUUAACUUGUUAAUGUAUUGUUUUCUUAAUUUUUUCUAUUUUUGAAAAGGAGAUCAAGGUGUUUUCUUUUGUCUAUUUUAAAGACACUCAGUGCGGAAACUCAUGUUUUGGGUUGACAAUGACAAUGAUACAUAUGUUGACCGAAUUCGUGCUUGAUGAGGACUUCAUGUUCAGCCUUGAUGCAUGCUCAUGCUGAGUCUUUGUGUCAAGAUAUAGUUAAUGUACCUGCACAUAGAUCACAACACUAAUAAUUAAGAAACUUUAUUGACCACUUUAUAAAUUAACUUACGUCGCUUCAGCAAACAGUUGCGCACUAGAUUGGAUCGAACUUCUCUCUUAUGCCCUUUCCCCCCAAUCAUAUUUUAUAAUGGAUGUAAACAUCAUCAUGCCUAUGAUUACAACUUUACUAAUUAGAUGUAUAUGUAUGUAACUAACUUCUCAAGAAAUAAGUACCGCCUAAUUAAGAUGUGCAUUGCAAUUGUUCAUGAGCUAAGCCUUGCAUUGUUACUAAUUUUUUUAGCAUUCCAAUGGUUUUAGUUGUGGCUAUGAUGGUGAUGACUAUUGAAGGGUUCUACAACAGUACAUCCCAGUGGUGCUUGUUGGUGACAAACAAAGAUAGGAGGGGCUAGCAGGGUGGGUGGGGGAUGACCAUGUCAGCAUGUUAAGCCUGAUUGCACUCACUCAUAAUGGUGGUUGACAAAUAAUUUGGAUAUGAAGAAAAUGGUGUGCUUAGUGUCCCUUGUAGCAAGGCCAAUUUAUUUGACCAGAUGGUCAAUGUUAUGAUAUGCAAAACUACGAGCUUGUCGAUUGAGCUAGUGUGUAUAUAUAGUAGGUAGAGAUUGUGUUAUUAUUCAUUGUUGGUUACUUUAUUUAUGUCACAUAGAUAUUUUAUUUAAAAUAGAGUUGUCGUAGCUUUAUCCUUUUAUGUGGGUGUAUAUCGACCUAAGGUGGUUAGAACAGUUCUAUACAGCGCAACACUAGCAAGGUAAGAUAAGCCUUGUGUGAGAAUGACUCAUUGGCUUUUGCCUGAAAAUGUCAAUAAGGAGUGAAGUAUAUCUUGAAAGUCAUGAACUACCUAAAAUUCUUUUGUCUGCAUCCAAAUCUCUUCUACAUCUCGUUUUUUUGCUUCUCUUUCCCUCUUAGGACUUCUGCAUCUACUUCAUUGCUAUGGUCCUUUUUUUGGAAGAAGAGGCAAACCCUUGGAUACGGGGUCAUUUCAUUGUUGGUGGUUUAGGGCAUGCGGUGCUCGCCACAAAGAGUUGAUCUCUCAGCAACGGUGCUCCACCCCCUGAAAUAUCACAACAUGCUCCUUCCGUGACUAUUCCUAUCGUCUCCUUCUCGUCUACUGUGCGAAUGGUGAGAGCAGGCUGUGCUGCAGUACUACAGCGAGCUAGGGACCAUGCAACAUUUUUUAAUUUUUUUUAUCAAUUAUCACUCUACUUGUUUGUAUAUAUAAUGAGCUGAUGGUGAUAAUCAUUUUCGCUACAG